UAUGAUAUCCUUGGAUGUGUGUGUGUGUGUGUGUGUGUACACACACACACACACACACACACACACACGGUAUAUAUG
This 78-nucleotide microRNA precursor is filed under the name Podarcis lilfordi (Lilford's wall lizard). The record is from RNAcentral. Lineage: Eukaryota; Metazoa; Chordata; Lepidosauria; Squamata; Lacertidae.